GAGGACAGCGUCCCGCUAACCUGCUGACUUAAGUUAAGAGAUCCAAGAAUGUGUACAUAUUCCUCCUUAUUCCAGCUCUGGUAUCUAGAACUGCAUCUAUGCACUAAUACCAAAGUAAUCACCGUUGCUGUAAAAUCCUGCAUAUUUGAAACCGGUUCCGAUGACAUAAGAGUUUGAUGUGUGUCGAGACUAUUUUGACUAUUUUCUCCCCACAUUUCAUCUGGUUCCCGGUGGGAAAAUGAAGGCAAACGCAGAAACGCUUUAGAGCCAAGAAAUGAUACACGGUCCCAUUAUAUAAUGAGACAUUGAACACACCAUGACCUUCUCACCUUGACUCGUCCUCUGACGUGGUCACUAAGUCUCACUCACUGAAGUCUGGCUUUAGCGAGGUUAGAUUUGUUUGUUUUGUUGGACACAUCUGUGCAGAAUCACAGCUGCUGAGUUUAGCUCAUCUUUCCCUGUUAACGUCUCAAGACAUCCGUUAUUUACUAAAUGUUGAGAGUAUAUUGUACAUAUUUUACUUACGGAUUAGUUUGACCUUUUGGGAAAUGCGCUUAUUUAUUUCCUCGGUUAGAUAAUAAAUACCAUGUGUUUAUAAAUACACAUCUAAAGCUCACUAUUUAACGGGAGCCCACUAAGUGCGCUUCAGGUGGUGUAUUAGAUUAAAGUUUGGACUCUUCAGACUUCAUGCUAAGCUAAGCGCCUCCAAGUGACUCGCUCCAUCUUUAAACUCACAGGUAUCGAGCUUCUCAUUAAACUGGUCGAGAGCUUUUCCCAAAAUGUGCAAAACCACUUUUUUCGACUAUGCAACACAUUGAAUCUAGAGACGCAUCGCUUUCUCUUUUAAAGGGCCAGUGCACCCAAAUUAUAGGAAGGCUUUCUAUUUUCUUAUCGGUAGAAUUAAUUUUGUGUUGCAUUUAGAAAUAGUUUACUUACAAUCUCAACUUUAAACUGAAUGGACAUCAUGUCUUUAAAGUGAACAUCAACCGAUCUGCUAAUUAAAAAGAAAUGCUCCGGACAGUUAGAUGGACCUUAUGGUGAAAACUGUUUGUUAUAAAGAGUAACCAGAACAUCGUUUUUGAAGACGCGCUGUUGGAGUGAACCGACCCUUUACUGCAGCGUUGUAAUGCGGGAUCAGAAGCCAGAACACACCGGGCAAACAGUCAGAACAUUUUCCAUCAGUUUUACCUUAAUUGUCUGCAACAUUACGUCCGUUUGUCCUUGUUGGGAUCAAUAAUCACAUCAUGGAUUAGAGCAACCUUUAGUUCACCAUGACAUCAUCUUGUUUCCCAUUUAUUGAGUUAAAACAUUCUGGUUUACAAAGAUCGAUGUUACGCUGUUUAUAUUUAUAGAAUGGUAACCUCUGUAAUAAUAAUAAUCUGUAAAACAGAAUCAAGGCUUUUUGUUUUUCAUUCUGGAUCGAAUUUGCCUUUCUUGCUUAAAAAUAUACACAUUGAUAAUUUUGUCAAGUAUUUUUCUUUCAGUAAAAAAAGAAAAUCUGAUUUAGGAAUAACACUUUUGAACGACCUGAAUAAAAAGUAAAAACGAAGCACUCAUUUUAAUUUUAUAUAAGUUUAUAUUUUACAUAUAGUACAGUAUUUUUUGAUAGACCAUUUUAUUGACAGUGUAAAAGAAAAGACAGGUUUUAAAAAAAGGAAAAAUAUGUUUUUUUUAACCAAACCUAGGCAAUGACGGAACUGAAGUAGUAGAUUUAUUUUUGUUUUAUCCACAAACUGGAAGGUAUAACUGUUAAAAUGCAAAGUUGAUUUGCUCUUAUUGAUUCAAGCUGCUUUGCAUGCAGUGUUAUAGGUUUGGAUCAGAACUAAAAACAUUCAACAAAACAAAAAUGCUACUUUCAGUCCAACCAAUUCCACCUUUUUCAUUUGGAUUUAGGACAUAUUGCACACUUCAGUUCAUGCCAAAGUAAAAAUGUAACAGAAAACAGGAAGUCAGAAAAAUAAAUCCUCGUCUCUUCAUUAAUGCUAAUUUAUAAAAACCGAACUGCCGGUGGCGGCUGAUGAACGUCAGUGAAGACAGUGAUUGAGAUGCACCCACUGGUAGGAUCACAGUAAUACACCCAGCACUGGUGACCUUUGACCUCAUGCAGCCUUUACUGAACACCGUCUAAUCGGCUUCACUAACAACUCUUUCCUACAGUGGCUCCUAAAAUACUUUAAAUUGAGUAACGACUACAGAACAGCUGCAGGCUGGUGGAGAAGCGUCGGCUCGUCUGCAGUUUCAUUUGAUUGUCCGAUUGGUGAGAUUGAUUUUUACUGAUAAAACGCUUCAACCCUCUUGAACUGUAUCAACAGUACUUUGUUUUGUGGAGCUCCUUCUGAUUUUACAUUAGCGUGAUUAAAGAUGGAGACAUUGCCAUAAUGCAGAAUGAUUACUGUACAGAGCAUUUAGACGUGACGCGGUGGUUUUUGGUGAUUCGUCUAGCCAGAAACAAAACACACACUUUGCAGAUCUGGACGGGAGGAAUACAUUCUCAGAGCUCCUUCCAGAGCAGACGCCCUGGAGCAGUUCCACAGCGCGGGUUCCUCUGUUCAUGAUUUUAGAGCUUUGGAGGGACGAUAAAGUUGCAGGAAAUGUGAGAUGAAAUACAUUCAGCGUCGGGUCAAUCGAACCCUCGUUUCUGCAGGAACCCCGGAGCUUUACAAACACGCAACAUUUCUCCAGUGGGGAAAAACAAAAACUAAA
Pseudoliparis swirei is the source of this 2703-nucleotide long non-coding RNA. RefSeq lists it as uncharacterized. NCBI's taxonomy places the organism in Eukaryota, Metazoa, Chordata, Actinopteri, Perciformes, Liparidae. The transcript has 2 exons. The record is from RefSeq and is a predicted model, not a curated record.